GUGGGGAAUCUUGCGCAAUGGGCGAAAGCCUGACGCAGCCAUGCCGCGUGAAUGAUGAAGGUCUUAGGAUUGUAAAAUUCUUUCACCGGGGACGAUAAUGACGGUACCCGGAGAAGAAGCUCCGGCUAACUUCGUGCCAGCAGCCGCGGUAAUACGAAGGGGGCUAGCGUUGCUCGGAAUUACUGGGCGUAAAGGGCGCGUAGGCGGACAGCUUAGUCAGAGGUGAAAGCCCAGGGCUCAACCUUGGAAUUGCCUUUGAUACUGGCUGUCUUGAGUUUGGGAGAGGUGAGUGGAACUCCGAGUGUAGAGGUGAAAUUCGUAGAUAUUCGGAAGAACACCAGUGGCGAAGGCGACUCACCGGCCCAAUACUGACGCUGAGGCGCGAAAGCGUGGGGAGCAAACAGGAUUAGAAACCCGUGUAGUCC
RNAcentral lists this ribosomal RNA (425 nucleotides) under uncultured bacterium. RNAcentral describes it as "partial 16S ribosomal RNA". It matches the Rfam family "Bacterial small subunit ribosomal RNA", at positions 354 to 796 of the family's 1533-position model. The record is from RNAcentral.